Molecule: ribosomal RNA, 253 nt
Filed under: uncultured bacterium
Lineage: Bacteria
Description: partial 16S ribosomal RNA
Rfam family: Bacterial small subunit ribosomal RNA
Source: RNAcentral
UACGUAGGGACCAAGCGUUGUUCGGAUUUACUGGGCGUAAAGGGCUCGUAGGCGGCCAACUAAGUCAUACGUGAAAUCCCUCGGCUUAACCGGGGAACUGCGUCUGAUACUGGAUGGCUUGAGAUUGGGAGAGGGAUGCGGAAUUCCAGGUGUAGCGGUGAAAUGCGUAGAUAUCUGGAGGAACACCGGUGGCGAAGGCGGCAUCCUGGACCAACACUGACGCUGAGGAGCGAAAGCCAGGGGAGCAAACGGG